GGGCCCGUAGUCUAACCUGGUCAGGACAGGAGCCUCCGGAGCUCUAGAUCCGGGUUCAAAUCCCGGCGGGCCCG
RNAcentral lists this transfer RNA (74 nucleotides) under marine sediment metagenome. It matches the Rfam family "tRNA". From Rfam's summary of the family: Transfer RNA (tRNA) molecules are approximately 80 nucleotides in length. Their secondary structure includes four short double-helical elements and three loops (D, anti-codon, and T loops). The record is from RNAcentral.